AGUGAACGCUGGCGGUAUGCCUAACACAUGCAAGUCGAACGGCAACACAGUUACAGCUUGCUAUUACGGGUGGCGGGUGGCGUAAGGGAGAGGAAUGCGUCGGAAUCUACUGUUUCAUGAGGGAUAACGUAGGGAAACAUACGAUACUACCGCAUAAGACAUACGGGGGAAAUCCGGAGAUCUUCCGACCUUACGCGCUGGUGUGAGCCGAUGUCGGAUUAGGUAGUUGGCGGGGUAAAGGCGUACCAAGGCGACGAUCCGUAGCUGGUCUGAGAGGAUGAUCAGCCACACUGGAACUGAGACACGGUCCAGACUCCUACGGGAGGCAGCAGUGGGGAAUAUUGGACAAUGGGCGCAAGCCUGAUCCAGCCAUGCCGCGUGGGUGAAGAAGGCCUUCGGGUUGUAAAGCCCUUUUGUUCGGAAAGAAAAGCAGCAGGCUAAUACCCCGCUGUUCUGACGGUACCCAAAGAAUAAGCACCGGCUAACUACGUG
RNAcentral lists this ribosomal RNA (492 nucleotides) under uncultured bacterium. RNAcentral's name for it is "partial 16S ribosomal RNA". It matches the Rfam family "Bacterial small subunit ribosomal RNA", at positions 29 to 507 of the family's 1533-position model. The record is from RNAcentral.